UACGGAGGAUGCGAGCGUUAUCCGGAUCUAUUGGGUUUAAAGGGUGCGUAGGCGGUCCGGAAAGUCAGCGGUAAAAGCCCGGGGCUCAACCCCGGCGAGCCGUUGAAACUGUCGGACUAGAGACGGCGAGAAGUACGCGGAAUGCGCGGUGUAGCGGUGAAAUGCAUAGAUAUCGCGCAGAACUCCGAUUGCGAAGGCAGCGUACCGGCGCCGGACUGACGCUGAGGCACGAAAGCGUGGGUAUCGAACAGG
Molecule: ribosomal RNA, 252 nt
Filed under: uncultured bacterium
Lineage: Bacteria
Description: partial 16S ribosomal RNA
Rfam family: Bacterial small subunit ribosomal RNA
Source: RNAcentral